RNAcentral lists this transfer RNA (83 nucleotides) under Candidatus Diapherotrites archaeon CG08_land_8_20_14_0_20_30_16. Its description in RNAcentral is "tRNA-Ser". It matches the Rfam family "tRNA". Rfam says of the family: Transfer RNA (tRNA) molecules are approximately 80 nucleotides in length. Their secondary structure includes four short double-helical elements and three loops (D, anti-codon, and T loops). Lineage: Archaea; Nanobdellati; Candidatus Iainarchaeota. The record is from RNAcentral.
GCAGGGAUGGCGGAGUGGUUAACGCGUUAGACUGCUAAUCUAAACUCCGAAAGGAGGCGAGGGUUCGAAUCCCUCUUCCUGCG